RNAcentral lists this transfer RNA (72 nucleotides) under Pseudomonadota bacterium. Its description in RNAcentral is "tRNA-Val". It matches the Rfam family "tRNA". From Rfam's summary of the family: Transfer RNA (tRNA) molecules are approximately 80 nucleotides in length. The record is from RNAcentral. RNAcentral also lists the same sequence under 3 other names. Lineage: Bacteria; Pseudomonadati; Pseudomonadota.
GGGCGUUUAACUCAGCGGUAGAGUGCAAUCCUCACACGGUUGAAGCCACUGGUUCAAGUCCAGUAACGCCCA